UGGCGGCGUGCCUAAUACAUGCAAGUCGAGCGAACGGACGAGAAGCUUGCUUCUCUGAUGUUAGCGGCGGACGGGUGAGUAACACGUGGAUAACCUACCUAUAAGACUGGGAUAACUUCGGGAAACCGGAGCUAAUACCGGAUAAUAUUUUGAACCGCAUGGUUCAAAAGUGAAAGACGGUCUUGCUGUCACUUAUAGAUGGAUCCGCGCUGCAUUAGCUAGUUGGUAAGGUAACGGCUUACCAAGGCAACGAUGCAUAGCCGACCUGAGAGGGUGAUCGGCCACACUGGAACUGAGACACGGUCCAGACUCCUACGGGAGGCAGCAGUAGGGAAUCUUCCGCAAUGGGCGAAAGCCUGACGGAGCAACGCCGCGUGAGUGAUGAAGGUCUUCGGAUCGUAAAACUCUGUUAUUAGGGAAGAACAUAUGUGUAAGUAACUGUGCACAUCUUGACGGUACCUAAUCAGAAAGCCACGGCUAACUACGUGCCAGCAGCCGCGGUAAUACGUAGGUGGCAAGCGUUAUCCGGAAUUAUUGGGCGUAAAGCGCGCGUAGGCGGUUUUUUAAGUCUGAUGUGAAAGCCCACGGCUCAACCGUGGAGGGUCAUUGGAAACUGGAAAACUUGAGUGCAGAAGAGGAAAGUGGAAUUCCAUGUGUAGCGGUGAAAUGCGCAGAGAUAUGGAGGAACACCAGUGGCGAAGGCGACUUUCUGGUCUGUAACUGACGCUGAUGUGCGAAAGCGUGGGGAUCAAACAGGAUUAGAUACCCUGGUAGUCCACGCCGUAAACGAUGAGUGCUAAGUGUUAGGGGGUUUCCGCCCCUUAGUGCUGCAGCUAACGCAUUAAGCACUCCGCCUGGGGAGUACGACCGCAAGGUUGAAACUCAAAGGAAUUGACGGGGACCCGCACAAGCGGUGGAGCAUGUGGUUUAAUUCGAAGCAACGCGAAGAACCUUACCAAAUCUUGACAUCCUUUGACAACUCUAGAGAUAGAGCCUUCCCCUUCGGGGGACAAAGUGACAGGUGGUGCAUGGUUGUCGUCAGCUCGUGUCGUGAGAUGUUGGGUUAAGUCCCGCAACGAGCGCAACCCUUAAGCUUAGUUGCCAUCAUUAAGUUGGGCACUCUAAGUUGACUGCCGGUGACAAACCGGAGGAAGGUGGGGAUGACGUCAAAUCAUCAUGCCCCUUAUGAUUUGGGCUACACACGUGCUACAAUGGACAAUACAAAGGGCAGCGAAACCGCGAGGUCAAGCAAAUCCCAUAAAGUUGUUCUCAGUUCGGAUUGUAGUCUGCAACUCGACUACAUGAAGCUGGAAUCGCUAGUAAUCGUAGAUCAGCAUGCUACGGUGAAUACGUUCCCGGGUCUUGUACACACCGCCCGUCACACCACGAGAGUUUGUAACACCCGAAGCCGGUGGAGUAACCUUUUAGGAGCUAGCCGUCGAAGGUGGGACAAAUGAUUGGGGUGAAGUCGUAACAAGGUAGCCGUAUCGGAAGGUGCGGCUGGAUCACCUCCUUU
This 1516-nucleotide ribosomal RNA is filed under the name Staphylococcus aureus. RNAcentral describes it as "partial 16S ribosomal RNA". It matches the Rfam family "Bacterial small subunit ribosomal RNA". The record is from RNAcentral. Lineage: Bacteria; Bacillati; Bacillota; Bacilli; Caryophanales; Staphylococcaceae.